This is a non-coding RNA of Cucurbita moschata (crookneck pumpkin), 92 nucleotides long. The record is from the annotation of a RefSeq genome assembly. Lineage: Eukaryota; Viridiplantae; Streptophyta; Magnoliopsida; Cucurbitales; Cucurbitaceae.
GUCAGGAUGGCCGAGUGGUCUAAGGCGCCAGAGCGCCAGACUCAAGUUCUGGUCUUCCUACGAGGGCGUGGGUUCAAAUCCCACUUCUGACA